ACAGUACUUUACGUUCUUUAGGUCUUGUAAGCGUGGGAUACACUACUUCUUCUUUAGGUCUUGUAAGCGUGGGAUACAGUACUUCUUCUUUAGGUCUUGUAAGCGUGGGAUGCAGUACUUCACGGCAGACCACAUUUCCCCUGGACAUUCUAUUGCCCUAACAGAGUUCUCCUUGCAGAGGGACAGAGACAAUGACAGAGGAUGUCCUUGAGGACACUGCUAAUAAGCAAGCAUCACCUAUGCACUCAUUCAGUGAGAGGAGAAGAGUCGUCUGCCUAAUUUCACCCAGUCCUUCCACCUCAUGCCCUUGUCAAGCCGCCAACUCUGGGACAGCGGGACAGACUGUCUAGACUAUUAAUCAUCCUCGGAAGAGUGCAUUUUAAAUCACACUUCAAUUAAUUCCAGCAAAUCAAG
Long non-coding RNA from Clupea harengus (Atlantic herring), 414 nucleotides. Lineage: Eukaryota; Metazoa; Chordata; Actinopteri; Clupeiformes; Clupeidae. The record is from Ensembl.